UAGCAAUACCCGCUGGCGACCGGCAAACGGGUGCGGAACACGUACGCAACCUUCCUUUAACUGGAGAAUAGCCCCUCGAAAGAGGGAUUAAUACUCCGUAACAUAUACAUGUGGCAUCACAAGUAUAUUAUAGCUCCGGCGGUUGAAGAUGGGCGUGCGCCUGAUUAGAUAGUUGGCGGGGUAACGGCCCACCAAGUCUGCGAUCAGUAACUGGUGUGAGAGCACGACCAGUCACACGGGCACUGAGACACGGGCCCGACUCCUACGGGAGGCAGCAGUAAGGAAUAUUGGUCAAUGGACGCAAGUCUGAACCAGCCAUGCCGCGUGGAGGAUUAAGGCCCUCUGGGUUGUAAACUCCUUUUAUCUGGGAAGAAAUCCGGGAAUUCUUUUCCGGUUGACGGUACCAGAGGAAUAAGCACCGGCUAACUCCGUGCCAGCAGCCGCGGUAAUACGGAGGGUGCAAGCGUUAUCCGGAUUCACUGGGUUUAAAGGGUGCGUAGGCGGGCAGGUAAGUCCGUGGUGAAAUCUCUGAGCUUAACUCAGAAACUGCCAUGGAUACUAUUUGUCUUGAAUAUUGUGGAGGUAAGCGGAAUAUGUCAUGUAGCGGUGAAAUGCUUAGAUAUGACAUAGAACACCAAUUGCGAAGGCAGCUUACUA
RNAcentral lists this ribosomal RNA (657 nucleotides) under uncultured Bacteroidota bacterium. RNAcentral's name for it is "bacterial SSU rRNA". It matches the Rfam family "Bacterial small subunit ribosomal RNA", at positions 77 to 731 of the family's 1533-position model. The record is from RNAcentral. Lineage: Bacteria; Pseudomonadati; Bacteroidota.